This 219-nucleotide long non-coding RNA is filed under the name Capsicum annuum. RNAcentral's name for it is "long non-coding RNA (CANN_LNC004670)". Lineage: Eukaryota; Viridiplantae; Streptophyta; Magnoliopsida; Solanales; Solanaceae. The record is from RNAcentral.
GGGGGGGGACAUGGGUUCCCCAAAUUGGAUGAAUUUUAACUUGGCAUUGGCUUUACCCUCAAUCAACUUUAUAAUCUUGAUUUUAAAUAUGGAUAAUUGCAUAGUUUAACUUAUUUUGAUCCCACUGAAUUGCAUUAAAGGAUAAAUGGAUAUGAGUAUGGUUUUGGAUGGCCUUGGUGGCCUUUGUUUUGGAUUUUAAGUGGAACUUAGGAGUCCAAU